GACGAACGCUGGCGGCGUGCCUAACACAUGCAAGUCGAACGAACCGUGGAGGGCUUGCUCUUCGCGGUUAGUGGCGAACGGGUGCGUAACACGUGAGCAACCUGCCCUUCGGUGGGGGAUAGCCGGCCUAACGGCCGGGUAAUACCGCAUACCGCCCCGGGAUCGCAUGGUCCUGGGGUUAAAGCCGCAAGGCGCCGGGGGAGGGGCUCGCGCCCUAUCAGCUAGUUGGUGAGGUAACGGCUCACCAAGGCAACGACGGGUAGCUGGUCUGAGAGGAUGGCCAGCCACAUUGGGACUGAGAUACGGCCCAGACUCCUACGGGAGGCAGCAGUGGGGAAUAUUGCGCAAUGGCCGCAAGGCUGACGCAGCGACGCCGCGUGUGGGAUGACGGCCUUCGGGUUGUAAACCACUGUUGGGAGGGACGAAGGCCCGGAAACGGGAUUGACGGUACCUCCAGAGGAAGCACCGGCUAACUCCGUGCCAGCAGCCGCGGUAAUACGGAGGGUGCAAGCGUUGUCCGGAAUCACUGGGCGUAAAGGGCGCGUAGGCGGCGCGGUAAGUCGGAUGUGAAAUCCCGGGGCUCAACUCCGGGGCUGCAUCCGAGACUGUCGUGCUCGAGCAUGGUAGAGGCGAGUGGAAUUCCCGGUGUAGCGGUGGAAUGCGUAGAGAUCGGGAAGAACACCAGUGGCGAAGGCGGCUCGCUGGGCCAUUGCUGACGCUGAGGCGCGAAAGCGUGGGGAGCAAACAGGAUUAGAUACCCUGGUAGUCCACGCCGUAAACGAUGGGCACUAGGCGCCGGGGGGGAGCGACCCUUUUCGGUGCCGUCGCUAACGCAGUAA
This 839-nucleotide ribosomal RNA is filed under the name uncultured bacterium. RNAcentral's name for it is "bacterial SSU rRNA". It matches the Rfam family "Bacterial small subunit ribosomal RNA", at positions 28 to 863 of the family's 1533-position model. The record is from RNAcentral.